CGAGCGGAGUAUUUCCUUCGGGGAAUGCUUAGCGGCGGACGGGUGAGUAACACGUAGGUAACCUGCCUAUAAGACUGGGAUAACUAUCGGAAACGAUAGCUAAGACCGGAUAACUGGUUUUCUCGCAUGAGAGAAUUAUGAAACACGGAGCAAUCUGUGACUUAUAGAUGGGCCUGCGGCGCAUUAGCUAGUUGGUAGGGUAAUGGCCUACCAAGGCGACGAUGCGUAGCCGACCUGAGAGGGUGAACGGCCACACUGGGACUGAGACACGGCCCAGACUCCUACGGGAGGCAGCAGUAGGGAAUCUUCCGCAAUGGACGCAAGUCUGACGGAGCAACGCCGCGUGAGUGAUGAAGGUUUUCGGAUCGUAAAGCUCUGUUGCCCUAGACGAACAGCAAGGCGAGUAACUGCGCUUUGUGUGACGGUAUAGGAGAAGAAAGCCCCGGCUAACUACGUGCCAGCAGCCGCGGUAAUACGUAGGGGGCAAGCGUUGUCCGGAAUUAUUGGGCGUAAAGCGCGCGCAGGCGGUUCGUUAAGUUGGGUGUUUAAGCCCGGGGCUCAACCCCGGUUCGCAUCCAAAACUGGCGAACUUGAGUGUAGGAGAGGAAAGUGGAAUUCCACGUGUAGCGGUGAAAUGCGUAGAGAUGUGGAGGAACACCAGUGGCGAAGGCGACUUUCUGGCCUAUAACUGACGCUGAGGCGCGAAAGCGUGGGGAGCAAACAGGAUUAGAUACCCUGGUAGUCCACGCCGUAAACGAUGCAUACUAGGUGUCGGGGAUUCGAUUUCUCGGUGCCGAAGUUAACACAGUAAGUAUGCCGCCUGGGGAGUACGCUCGC
Molecule: ribosomal RNA, 837 nt
Filed under: Paenibacillus sp. POB3-11_Pa
Lineage: Bacteria; Bacillati; Bacillota; Bacilli; Caryophanales; Paenibacillaceae
Description: bacterial SSU rRNA
Rfam family: Bacterial small subunit ribosomal RNA
Source: RNAcentral